GCCUCUUUAGCUCAGUCGGUUAGAGCACCUGACUGUUAAUCAGGGUGUCGCCUGUUCGAGUCAGGCAAGAGGCGCCA
Molecule: transfer RNA, 77 nt
Filed under: Faecalibacterium prausnitzii
Lineage: Bacteria; Bacillati; Bacillota; Clostridia; Eubacteriales; Oscillospiraceae
Also listed under: 77 other names
Description: tRNA-Asn
Rfam family: tRNA
About the family: Transfer RNA (tRNA) molecules are approximately 80 nucleotides in length.
Source: RNAcentral